GCGGGUGUAGUUCAAUGGUAGAACUUCAGCUUCCCAAGCUGAUNAUGGGAGUUCGAUUCUCCUCACCCGCU
Molecule: transfer RNA, 71 nt
Filed under: Deltaproteobacteria bacterium
Lineage: Bacteria; Pseudomonadati; Myxococcota; Myxococcia
Description: tRNA-Gly
Rfam family: tRNA
About the family: Transfer RNA (tRNA) molecules are approximately 80 nucleotides in length. Their secondary structure includes four short double-helical elements and three loops (D, anti-codon, and T loops). Further hydrogen bonds mediate the characteristic L-shaped molecular structure. tRNAs have two regions of fundamental functional importance: the anti-codon, which is responsible for specific mRNA codon recognition, and the 3' end, to which the tRNAs corresponding amino acid is attached (by aminoacyl-tRNA synthetases). tRNAs cope with the degeneracy of the genetic code in two manners: having more than one tRNA (with a specific anti-codon) for a particular amino acid; and 'wobble' base-pairing, i.e. permitting non-standard base-pairing at the 3rd anti-codon position.
Source: RNAcentral